GCGGGUUUAGCUCAGUUGGGAGAGCGUCAGACUGAAGUCAAACUUCAAUCAAUCGAUAUCUGAAGGUCAUGUGUUCGAUCCACAUAAACCGCA
RNAcentral lists this transfer RNA (93 nucleotides) under Fusarium fujikuroi. RNAcentral's name for it is "tRNA-Phe for anticodon GAA". It matches the Rfam family "tRNA". Rfam says of the family: Transfer RNA (tRNA) molecules are approximately 80 nucleotides in length. Their secondary structure includes four short double-helical elements and three loops (D, anti-codon, and T loops). The record is from RNAcentral. RNAcentral also lists the same sequence under 1 other name. Lineage: Eukaryota; Fungi; Ascomycota; Sordariomycetes; Hypocreales; Nectriaceae.